RNAcentral lists this ribosomal RNA (433 nucleotides) under uncultured bacterium. Its description in RNAcentral is "partial 16S ribosomal RNA". It matches the Rfam family "Bacterial small subunit ribosomal RNA", at positions 29 to 507 of the family's 1533-position model. The record is from RNAcentral.
AACGAACGCUGGCGGCAUGCCUAACACAUGCAAGUCGAACGAGACCUUCGGGUCUAGUGGCGCACGGGUGCGUAACGCGUGGGAACCUGCCCUUAGGUUCGGAAUAACUCCCCGAAAGGGGUGCUAAUACCGGAUAAUGUCUUCGGACCAAAGAUUUAUCGCCUUUGGAUGGGCCCGCGUUGGAUUAGCUAGUUGGUAGGGUAAAAGCCUACCAAGGCGACGAUCCAUAGCUGGUCUGAGAGGAUGAUCAGCCACACUGGGACUGAGACACGGCCCAGACUCCUACGGGAGGCAGCAGUGGGGAAUAUUGGAAAAUGGGCGAAAGCAUGAUCCAGCAAUGCCGCGUGAGUGAUGAAGGCAUUAGGGUUGUAAAGCUCUUUUAACCGGGAUGAUAAUGACAGUACCGGGAGAAUAAGCUCCGGCUAACUCCGUG